AUGACGGACAUUGCUAGAGGAAUCUAUAGCAAUGGUAGCCUUUUCUUAUUUUAUUUGUGCCUGGUACCUAUGCUUGUAGCUGUCAGAGAAAGAACAACAGUGUAUGUCCACAUGUCUUCAGAAAUAUGCUUUGCCAAUUUGUUGUUCUUUAUUGUGAAAGUUGACUUGUCAGAUAGAAAAAAGUCACUUUGGAGGACGGGUGCAUCGGAGCCCUAUAUUUUGAAUUCUGAAAAUAAAUCAACACAUUUAUAUGGAUGUGUCUUACACAUGUUUACUUAUUUCAUCACCAAACUUUACAUAUGUGUAAUAUACUCCCAUAUAUCGUGA
RNAcentral lists this ribosomal RNA (327 nucleotides) under Triticum aestivum (bread wheat). Its description in RNAcentral is "partial small subunit ribosomal RNA". The record is from RNAcentral. Lineage: Eukaryota; Viridiplantae; Streptophyta; Magnoliopsida; Poales; Poaceae.